ACUCAAAGGAAUUGACGGGGACCCGCACAAGCAGCGGAGCGUGUGGUUUAAUUCGAGGCUACGCGAAGAACCUUACCAGGGUUUGACAUGCACGUAGUAGUGAAGCGAAAGCGGAACGACCCUUCGGGGAGCGUGCACAGGUGAUGCAUGGCUGUCGUCAGCUCGUGCCGUGAGGUGUUUGGUUAAGUCCACUAACGAGCGCAACCCCUAGCGCCAGUUACAUGUGUCUGGCGCGACUGCCGGUCUUAAGCCGGAGGAAGGUGGGGAUGACGUCAAGUCAGCAUGUCCCUUAUAUCCUGGGCUACACACACGCUACAAUGGCCAGUACAAUAGGGUGCUAAGCCGUGAGGCGGAGCCAAUCCUCAAAGCUGGUCUCAGUUCGGAUCGUAGGCUGCAACCCGCCUACGUGAAGUCGGAGUUGCUAGUAACUGCAGGACAGCUAUACUGCGGUGAAUACGUUCCCGGGUCUUGUACACACCGCCCGU
RNAcentral lists this ribosomal RNA (485 nucleotides) under uncultured bacterium. RNAcentral describes it as "partial 16S ribosomal RNA". It matches the Rfam family "Bacterial small subunit ribosomal RNA", at positions 899 to 1397 of the family's 1533-position model. The record is from RNAcentral.